GAUGAAGAACGCAAGCGAAAUGCGAUACGUAAUGUGAAUUGCAAAUUCAGUGAAUCAUCGAGUCUUUGAACGCACAUUGCGCCCCCUGGUAUUCCGGGGGGCAUGCCUGUCCGAGCGUCAUUGCUGCCCUCAAGCACGGCUUGUGUGUUGGGCCCCGUCCUCCGAUCCCGGGGGACGGGCCCGAAAGGCAGCGGCGGCACCGCGUCCGGUCCUCGAGCGUAUGGGGCUUUGUCACCCGCUCUGUAGGCCCGGCCGGCGCUUGCCGAUCAACCCAAAUUUUUAUCCAGGUUGACCUCGGAUCAGGUAGGGAUACCCGCUGAACUUAAGCAUAUCAAUAAGCGGAGGA
This 346-nucleotide unclassified non-coding RNA is filed under the name soil metagenome. RNAcentral's name for it is "partial contains 5.8S ribosomal RNA, internal transcribed spacer 2, and large subunit ribosomal RNA". The stretch from base 1 to 120 matches the Rfam family "5.8S ribosomal RNA", at positions 35 to 154 of the family's 154-position model. The record is from RNAcentral.